UCGGCAUGCUGUCAAACUCCGAAUGUGUGUCCGUCGUAGAAGCUGGGCAGUGAGGGCAUCGGGGUAAGCUUGAUGUCCAUAAGGAAAACAAACCAGACCAAAGUUAAGGUCCCUAAGUAACAGCUAAGUGUUAAAGAACAAAUAGUGUUUAACAGCAUAGACAGCUGGAAGGUUGGCUUAGAGGCAGCCAUCCUUUAAAGAGUUCGUAACAGAUCACCAGUCAAGUUCUUGAGCCUAGAAAAUGGACGGGACUAAGUUGUUCACCGAUACUUUGGGCCACCGAAAGGUGAUGCGGUAGAGAGGCGUCGUGCGCGGGUGGAAGUGGGGCCGUGAGGUCCUGUGGACCGCGUUCGAAUGAUAAUCAUGGAAAUAGUAGUAGCGUAGAUGGGUGAGAAUCCCAUCCGCCGGAGGGGCUAGGGUUCCUCGACGAUGUUCAUCAGUCGAGGGUUAGUCGGUCCUAAGGUUCCCCCUAACAGGAGGAAUCGAAAGGGAAGCAGGUUAAAAUUCCUGCACCAAUUCAUAUUUUGUCCAGUUCCUGACACAUCGGGUCUUGUGGAGCACUCCUGUCUGAGUGUUGCCUUAAGCAAUAAAAUUGUGGAGUACCGUAAUGGUGAGAAGCAAACUAAGCUUUUGGGAGGCGAAGUAUUUCGCUUCUGCGUUAGCCUGGUGUCCGUGAAAAGGGAGCUGGAGCCGUAUGAGUUGUCCGUACCGAGAUCUGACACAGGUGCCCCUAGGUGAGUAGCCUAAGGCGUCGCGGCAGAAUCCGGGCGAGGGAAUUCGGCAAAUUAGCCCCGUACCUUUGGUAUAAGGGGUGCCAGCUCUGAAGAGAGCUGGUCGCAGUGACUAGGGAGCUCCGACUGUUUACUAAAAACACAGGUGGCUGCUAGUCCGUAAGGAUGAGUAUAGCCGCUGAAUCCUGCCCAGUGGUGGUAUCUGAAACCCUGUUUCAACCUGACGAAGGACUGCUAAACGGCGGGGGUAACUAUGACCCUCUUAAGGUAGCGUAAUACCUUGUCGCUUAAUUGGCGACUUGCACGAACGGCCUAACGAGAGCUCUACUGUCCCCGCCCGGAGCCCGAUGAAAUUGACUUACUGGCGCACAGUCCAGUACGUCCCAGCCGCAAGCGAAGACCCCGUGGAGCUUUACUGCAACCUGCCGUUGUGGCACGAGUUGUUAUGUGUAGCGUAGACGGGAGACAUUACACAGGUGCGAGCGCUAGCUCGUCGCCGAGUCACCGAUGAAACACCGUCCUUUUCGAUUCGUCCCACUCACCUCUUCGGAGGAACCCCGGUAGGCGGGCAGUUUGGGUGGGGCGCCACUCCCUCGAAAAAAUAACAAGGGAGCCCAAAGGUCAGCUUAGGUAGGUCAGGAAUCUACCGUUAAGUGCAAGGGCAAAAGCUGGCUUGACGUGGUUUGGCAACACAACAAACCACGAUGCGAAAGCAGGGCCUAGCGAACCAACCAGCGCCGUUAGUAGGUGCGGUUGAUAACAGAAAAGUUACCCCGGGGAUAACUGAGUUGUCUGGAGCAAGAGCCCACAUCGACCUCCAGGCUUGCUACUUCGAUGUCGUCUCUUCCUAUCCUGGGUGUGCAGAAGCACCCAAGGGUGGGGUUGUUCGCCCAUUAAAAGGGAUCGUGAGAUGGG
RNAcentral lists this ribosomal RNA (1646 nucleotides) under marine metagenome. Its description in RNAcentral is "bacterial LSU rRNA". It matches the Rfam family "Archaeal large subunit ribosomal RNA", at positions 1018 to 2678 of the family's 2987-position model. The record is from RNAcentral.